UACGGGGGGGGGCAAGCGUUGUUCGGAAUUACUGGGCGUAAAGGGCUCGUAGGUGGCCAACUAAGUCAGACGUGAAAUCCCCCGGCUUAACCGGGGAACUGCGUCUGAUACUGGAUGGCUAGAGUGUGGGAGAGGGAUGCGGAAUUCCAGGUGUAGCGGUGAAAUGCGUAGAUAUCUGGAGGAACACCGGUGGCGAAGGCGGCUCUCUGGGACGGUACUGACGGCUGAGACGCGAAAGCGUGGGGAGCAAAACAGG
Molecule: ribosomal RNA, 256 nt
Filed under: uncultured bacterium
Lineage: Bacteria
Description: partial 16S ribosomal RNA
Rfam family: Bacterial small subunit ribosomal RNA
Source: RNAcentral